This is a long non-coding RNA of Mus musculus (house mouse), 2897 nucleotides long. RefSeq annotates it as predicted gene, 30559. The transcript has 7 exons. Lineage: Eukaryota; Metazoa; Chordata; Mammalia; Rodentia; Muridae. The record is from RefSeq and is a predicted model, not a curated record.
GACUUGCCUUGGUCAUGGUGUCUGUUCACAGCAGUAAAACCCUAACUAAAACAGUAACAUUAGCCAUCACAGUGAGAAAACAAGAAAGGUGAGGGACGCUGAGCUAAAAUUUGAAGGUUAGGAGAAAGGCACAAAGAAGUCGCCAGGAAGGAGAAUGUUCUGGAAGAGGGUUUCACAAGAACCAGGCAAUGAAGCAAGAGUUCUGGAAGCCUGCCAUUCUUUUCUAAGCCUAGAUCUGGGUUAGAAUUCUGAGUUUCCAUCAAUCUUGCCCAGAGAAUUUCAUAUCCCAAGAACUGUAGCCACUAUGUUUGGGGCCUGGUACCCUGACCAAUGCUAACUAGUGUGGAGAGAGAAUAUGUAGCUACCUUUUAGCAUCCAGCAUCAGUAGGCAGAGAGCGUUGGAGAGGCUGGGUCUGACACAGCAGCUUGAUGUUGGCUUGCAAACUUCCCUUCAUGACUUCCAAUUACCACUUUUCUUAUCUCUGGCUCUUAGCUAACAGAAGGAAGCCAACAGGAGGUCAAGCCAUUGUUUGACCUGGUUCUGCAGAAGGGAAGAGGGAGGUAAUGGAAUCUCAGCUGGCUCUGGCUUAUAGGAAGUGCCUUCUACUCCCUGGGUUCAUAGCCUGACUGUAAACGCCCUGAAGGCUGUGAUUAUCAGGCUGGCCAUAAAUGGGACACCCUGUGGCUUUGUUAGGGACUGUGGGGAGUUUGGGUACAACUUUUUUUUUCUUUAAAGCCACCUAUAAAAAUAUUUGGGGGAUUCUGUGGUGCUGGCUCAGCAUUCCUCAUCUCAAGGCUACAUUUUCCUUUCCCUGAACAUAUGUGUGGUGGCAUUUCUACCUCAUUGGCCACAGACAGUGUCUUGGUAGCACAGACUGGUGGGCUCAUGUUCAGCAGGACACAAGCCGGAUGGUGUCCAUCUCUGAACAAGUGGCCUCUUUCUCACACAGGCUGAGUUCCCCACUUGCAGGGGAGCUGGGGCUGGGGAAUGUUGGUUCCUGGAAGCUCACAGGGAGUCCUCUAAGGCGGUGGGAUCUGUUUAUUUAACUUCAUUUUUAAAAUAUUUUCAUAGAAAUGAGGAUACUGCUCAUAUUCAGAGGCUCACUAGUUUCUCCCAGGUCAAUAGAGGUCAGUAGGACAGCAGUGGGUAGGAACAGACCAUUGGCUCUGCCCCCUUAGACUAGGACUUGAGAGUCAACUUACAUUGCAGGUAGACGCAAUCUGGACAGCAGCUACCCUCAGGCUUGGGAUGGAAUCAGAAAUAUUUCUUAAUGGGAAUAAGAAAAGGAAACAUUUCACAUCUGCUAUUUAGAUUGAGCAUGGUUGUGGCUCUGGUUGGCUCUAAUUUGAAUGUUGUCACAAAGCUCACAGGUCAGCUUAAGGAAUUGGGCCUUCAGCAAGCAGAGCCAGUACUUUCUCCCAGGACAUCACUAGAACCUGGCCUAUGGUUGGGAGCAAUUCAUCACACGAUUCCAUAUGAUGUGCACAUGGACUCCAGAGCUCCUGGUCUGACAGCUUUCAGGAACAUAUGACUACUGCUAACCUAACUGGGUCAUCGUGUUGUCCAUGAGACAGGCCCACCUGUCACGAUGCCUCCUAAUCGUUGUUUUGACUUUUUGUCUAAGAUCAAUGCACAAAUGUGUAAUAGUGGACUGUAUUGGGCAAGGUGCUGCCUGCUGAUGUAAUCCUACAGUUUGCAUUUUCGCUGUCUGCUUAUCAAGGUGCCUCACCAUCUGUGGUUGCCUUUGACUUUUGAACCUGCUGAACAGAGAGCCAUUGUACUUGUGAUCAGCUCUGAGGAAUGAAGAGCAUAAGGCUGAGAAGAUGUGUAUACAGACCACGAGUCAGAGCUACGACUGCAAGUCCAACAACGCUAUUUCCCUCAACCCUGCUGUCUGCCUGGAGAUGACCAGCAACAGUUAAAUAAAAUUGAGUCUCAGAGAUUAUAAAGGACAUCCCCAGGAUAAUACAAUCAGCAGCAGGCAGAGUUUGGACAUACAGGUACCAUGGAAAUAUUUCUUCUCAACUGAAGCAUUUUCACUGUAAAACUGUGAAGCAAAGGAUCAAACUCAGGAAGUGAAUGAAACCCACAAGUUCCAGGAAGUUCCUGAAAUUGCAACAUCCCCAAGGUCCUUCCCUUAGCUAAUACGUUUAGUAAUAAUUCCUGGGAGGAAAGAGCUCCCCACCAGCUGAGCUUCAUAAAGUCAAGCAGGGAACUCGAGGGAUGCAAGCUUCAUGGGAUGCUGGUAACGCAGCUGCCUCUGAUUCAUGCUUACUCUUGACCAGAGGAUGCUAUGUAAGGCACUGGGGAAGAAAACUCAUCAAUGAUCUUACAGCAUCGGAUGCUGCAUGCCACAGUGGUGGCCUUCUAGAGACUCACCUAGGACCCAACCAUCAUUGAUGGUCUACCACAAAUGCACGAGUGUAAGGCAAUGUCAAAUAUGUGGCAGUCAUUUUUCCAAAUAAGGAAUACUUCUCCUCACCAGAAAGUUCAAGAAUAUACCUAAAACUGGGAUGAUGGCUUUUGAGGUAAUUACCCACAGCCUGCUACUGGCUCGGCACACUGAAUUAGAGUUCUGCAGAGAAAUGGAACCAACAUAUAAAGAGAUUUAUAAGAUGAAUGGUGUCAUCUCAUCCAUCCCCAUCUUUUACUCCUCUGCAACGUACCUUGUGAUCCGGCCAUGUUGCUCUGUGAAAUCUUGUUCCUUACAUGAGACAUCCUGAUAGGAUUUUCUCAAAUCACAUCAUAUCCUUUUCUUUAUUGACUUUCCCCAUCAGUACACACGAAAAUUGCUUCCAAAUGUACAAGCAACCUGGGGAGAGUCAUUUCUUUUGUCUUUGUAUCCAUGAAUGCCAAAUUUCUUUAUUGUAUACACACACAUGAUUGAUGAUUAAAA